AUUUAUAUAGUUUAAAUUAAAACUUUAUAUUUUCAAUAUAAUAAUAUAUAAAUAAAUUUAUUAUAAAUU
RNAcentral lists this transfer RNA (69 nucleotides) under Philotrypesis pilosa. RNAcentral describes it as "tRNA-Glu". The record is from RNAcentral. Lineage: Eukaryota; Metazoa; Arthropoda; Insecta; Hymenoptera; Pteromalidae.